AGUACACUACCGGCCUAACCCGCCGGCUAUGUAUAACCCUUUGUUGUCCGACUCUGUUGCCUCCGGGGCGACCCUGCCUUCGGGCGGGGGCCCCGGGUGGACACUUCAAACUCUUGCGUAACUUUGCAGUCUGAGUAAAUUUAAUUAAUAAAUUAAAACUUUCAACAACGGAUCUCUUGGUUCUGGCAUCGAUGAAGAACGCAGCGAAAUGCGAUAAGUAAUGUGAAUUGCAGAAUUCAGUGAAUCAUCGAAUCUUUGAACGCACAUUGCGCCCCCUGGUAUUCCGGGGGGCAUGCCUGUUCGAGCGUCAUUUCACCACUCAAGCCUCGCUUGGUAUUGGGCGACGCGGUCCGCCGCGCGCCUCAAAUCGACCGGCUGGGUCUUCUGUCCCCUCAGCGUUGUGGAAACUAUUCGCUAAAGGGUGCCCGGGAGGCUACGCCGUAAAACAACCCCAUUUCUAAGGUUGACCUCGGA
RNAcentral lists this ribosomal RNA (474 nucleotides) under Cladosporium velox. Its description in RNAcentral is "eukaryotic LSU rRNA". The stretch from base 157 to 310 matches the Rfam family "5.8S ribosomal RNA". The record is from RNAcentral. Lineage: Eukaryota; Fungi; Ascomycota; Dothideomycetes; Cladosporiales; Cladosporiaceae.